RNAcentral lists this long non-coding RNA (648 nucleotides) under Helianthus annuus (common sunflower). Its description in RNAcentral is "hypothetical non coding rna". The record is from RNAcentral. Lineage: Eukaryota; Viridiplantae; Streptophyta; Magnoliopsida; Asterales; Asteraceae.
CCCCCAUCUCUCUCUCUCUCUCUACCUUCAAAUCUUCAAGACUUGUUCUUCAUUCAAAGCUUUGAAGGUGAUCCAUGGAAGUUGCAAGUUGAAGGGCAUUCAAAGGAGCUUUGUUCUAGUCUUGUUCAUCAUCUUUCUCACCAUCAUCUUCACUAGAAUUUCUACCCUAGCUUUGUGCUAGUACUCAAGCUGCAUUUUUAUGGCAGAAAAAGUGUUGUCGUGUAGCGGACAGGGUUUGAGAUUCGAUUCAAGACGCACUACUGAGCUGUUGCUUAGGAUGUUCGUGACACACUAGGGCGGACCUAUGCCUUAGAGACUAAAAUAAAGAUGGAACCAGUUUAAUUAUGUGAUGAACACUUUGUUUCAGUUAAUUUAAGACUAUGUAACCUUUGCUUGAUGAAUAAAACAAAACUUUUAAUUACCAUGGUUGUGAAACAAAAAUUCUGUUACAACACUCCCCGACGUUUCCGCCACGAUUUGUUGUUUUACGUGGUCGGGGUGUGACAGAAGAGUUGGUAUCAGAGCCAAUGGUUAUAGGGAAUUAGGUUAUUAGUAAUGCUUUGACCUAGACUAUAACCUUUCUAGGACCCCAACACAAGUUGUCUUGUGUUUAGAUUUUAAAACAUGCACUUCACCUAUCCUUAGGUG